Molecule: long non-coding RNA, 3929 nt
Filed under: Mus musculus (house mouse)
Lineage: Eukaryota; Metazoa; Chordata; Mammalia; Rodentia; Muridae
Description: long non-coding RNA chr18:70603553-70607482
Source: RNAcentral
UUUUUUUUUUUUUAUGGUUCGAGUGCACAUUUUCUUGGUCGUAAUGGCACUAAGAACCAGUUCUGUGACUUGGCCAUAUGGAUAAUCCGUUUAACACUUUUAAUUUGUUUAUUAUUUAUUGUGUAUAGAUUUAGGGAUUGAAUUCAGGUCACUACCAGCUUGGUAGCAAGCAAUGAGCUAUCUCAUUGACACCUCUACAAGUUUUUAUUCAUUAUUAUUAUAAGGAAUUAGUUUUUUCUCAUGGAUUUAAAGAGUUCUUUAUGUAUAUUUGGAUAUAAAUCCUAAUAUUUGCUUCAAGCUUGUAGAUUACACUGUUAUUCUCUUAAGAUCAUCUUUUGAGAAAUCUGUGCUCAUAAUUUUAAGAAAGGUUUUGGUAGCAAGGUAAGAGACUGUCUGUGUGCCGAUGAAACCCUGUCUUCCAUCUGAUAGCUGUCACACAGUGUUUAUUUGUUAAUCUCCAGUCACCGAUUUUAGUUCUCAAGACCUGUUGGUUUACUUGACAGUUAUCAAUGUAAUCCUUUGGGUUAUCUUCUGAAUGCUUGCUUGCAUGACUUUUAGAGCUCCUGUCCACCAAGAAUUGACCUUGUGUUUGAUGUAAGGUGGAUUCAUGUCUCAAUGUAAGGACAUCCAGUUGACAUAGCACAUAUUUUUUUAAAACAAAAUAUUUGUCCAUUGCUCUGCUUUGCCAUCCUUGCUGUAGAGGAAAUGCUUACAUCGGCAAACAAGGGCUUGUGGAGCUCAUGUGUAGCCCUUACACCUCAACGUUUUUCCUGGGGAUCAGCUUCAUGAAGCUCUUGGUACAUGGCAGGAAGUUUUGGAGUCCUGCUGGUCUGCGUCAAGAUGAUCCUCAUGUUCUCCCUUCUCCUCGUCUUCCUUUUUCUUCUGUGUUGUGAGUUAAACCUGGUGGGAGCAGCACCUAGGAAAUGUUAGCACUGCACAUGAUGGUCUCUUUUCAUAUGCAUCUUAGGAUGACCCAGUCCUUCAGACAUGUCGUGAAUAUGUGGUGCUGUGUGUGCGUAGACUAGAGUCUUCUUAGCAAAAUUCAGAGAAACCACUGUAGCAGGUCGUUACUAUUCUUUCCUCUUCAUUGACCCUGGCAUUUCCUUUUAUUUUUGUUCCUUAGUCUGUUUUUAGUCCAAAUUGUUAUUGUUUAUUUAGCUUUAGCAUGAGACCUCACACACACACACACACACACACACACUCAAGACAUAUACAUCAGGACACACAGACAUAUACAUCAGGACACACAGACAUAUACAUCAGGACACACAGACAUAUAUUCACAUAUUUGCAGCUACAUUAUUUAUGUACAGAGUUUCACUUGUGUUGCACCAUAAGUUUCUCAUCAUUUAUCUUAGUCCCUUUUUCCUGGGACACCAGGAGAAAUAUGAGGUGGCUUAUGCUUGUCUUUGGAUCUCCGCCGGUCACGGUUUAAGUUGCCUUAGCUGUCUGUAACCAGGCAGCUCAGGUGUUAACUGAAACUGAUUUAUUUAUUUAUUUAAUGUAGAGGACUACACUGUAGCUGUCUUCAGACACACCGGAGAGGGUAUCAGAUCCUGUUACAGAUGGUUGUGAGCCACCAUGUGGUUGCUGGGAAUUGAACUCAGGACCUCUAGGAAGAUAAGUCAGUGCUCUUAGCCACUGAACCACUGAGCCAUCUCUCCAGCACCUGGACUGAUUUUAAAUAGAGCAAUUUGACCACUGGACAGUGAAUUCCUUCUAGAUAGAAGCAUCAUUUGCCCAUAUAACCCUAAUUAGUGUCUUACGUGUUUAACGUUUCAAAAGUCGGUGAAUCAAAGUGAACCUCUUCUGGGUUUUGUUAUAGUUUGUAAGUUUGUGACAAGACCUUUUUUAUUUUUUUCCCUCCUCUUUUUUGUUGGAUGGAAACUCAGAGCUUUGUACGUUCAAGGCUAGCAUUCUAUCACUGAUAUGCAGUCCUGGAGUAUUCUACCUCUGAGAUGCAGACUCAGUUCUGGAUGGUGUUCUCCCAGUGAACCAGGUACUCAGUCCUGGGGAAAGUCUACUACCAGGUGACACUCCUAGUUCCAGGUUUCUGUAUCCUCAGAUCACACUCAGUAAAUGCCUUAUGAAAAUGAACUUACAUAAAUGAAUUUUGUAAGUCUAACAUUUAAAAAUUCUGGGCAAGUUGCUAAAAAUUUGUAACAUCAAAAAACUUAACAGUUUUUCAAUGUUUUGAUAAUCUGUGAUAGAAAUAGCAAUCAUUAGUGUUUGUAGUAUACUACUGAAAAUACAUCUAAGAAUAAUAUGUAUUAUUUUCCUAAAAUAAUACAUGUGUUUAAUGCUGCACCUGAUUAAAAACUUUAGCUUCCAAACCAGCCCUCUUUCCAUGGAUAUUUGCAUGCCAGCUGUGUAAUAUUUGCAUGACAGCUGUGCUGUAUCUCAUGUUGCUGGGUGAGCAACUGUGUUACCUGUAACAUGUGCUCGACCAAGUUGAAGACUACAGGCUAAAACUUUUAAAAAGUGAAGUGUUUUUUUUUUUUAAAACAUAACUUGUUUCUUCUGUUUGAUAAAGUAUUAGCACUUUCCUCCUUAUGUUCUGUGAAAUUUAUAUUUCCUGUGGAUUUUAGUAUUUUAUUGGAAUACUAUUUACAGUCUUUUUUUUUCCCUUUGACAAAGGCGUUUUUAAUAUGCUGAUUAACAGAGUAGCGGAUACUGGUGCAUACAGAGACCCAUCCUACAGGCAGAACUAAGUCCCCUGACAGCAGGUAAAGAUGGUAGUGGAGUUGGGCAGAGGGUCUUGAGACAAGAAUUACCCCUAGACUUACAAGGUUCUAUGAUCUCAAGCAAAGCCAGUGCUAACACAGUACCAGGGAGGGCAAAACCUGGGUAGAAAGAAAAGAAUGUCAGGCCAGGACAUUAGAAGACAUUCUCUUCAGGAUGAAAGAGGCAGCUUGAGAGAGCAGCCGCGUGGAUGAGGAUGUGUUUCAGGUCUGAGAAUUCAAGUGAGCGGCUACCUUUAAGGGAAGGAGCCCAAGGAGUGGAAGUGAGAUGAGGUGACCUGGGCAGUGGGCGAGCAGCAGGAGGAGGUAGAGCAGACCAGGGCCAGGGUGUGUGGCGGGCUCAGCACAGGAGCAGGACAGCUGAGGCAGAGGAGGAUACUGCAGGCUUAGUGCCAGGCACCUCUCUAGUGGCCUGGGACCAAGGCUUGCGGGCUCACUGACUUAGGUGCUAAUAUCUAGCUCAUGAUGUUGAAAAUAAGCAGAAAGAAAUAGUUUCAAGAUAGUUUUUAAAGACCUUUGCUUAGUUUCCUUCCUAAACUUUAGCAUGUUUCUGAGUAUUGAGUUAGUUUUUAUUCCAAUGGAGAUAAAAAGGGGGAAAUGCAUUUUAAGAUGAUCUAUGAGGGUCAAGAUCAGUUCCACUCUUUUGCACGGCUAGAUUUGAAGGGAUACUUUUCUGUGUGAUUGUUGUACACCCAGGACUUAUGGACAUUUGUGUGGCCAAGAGCAGCGUGUGUGUUGUGUUUUGUUACUAUGUCUGUACUUGAACACCAGAAGUCACUCUGAUAGGAGCCUGGCCUUUCCAUGAUAUGACAGCUAUCUGUGUCAUAUCUCUGCAGUAGCGUGCUCUGUGGUACUGCAGGGUUGAGAGCUCCUCCUAAAAUCUGUGUGUCUGUCUACAUUCUGAUGGAUGGCCAUGGCUUUAAAUGUUUCAGACAUUUUGAACUCUACAUCUUCCAAGAUAAGUAAUCAUAGAAUGGUUCUAGAACAUCACUUAAUCCAGUGUGUUUGAAUUAUUAAUAAUUAAUAAUUGCUCUUUAUAGCCAUGAUUUUAGUCAGAGAUUGACUGAAUUUCAGCUUUUAAAAAUAUUUUAUUACAUGUUUUAUACAAUAUAUUUUAUCAUGUCUUCCCUCUUCAAACUUCUCUUAGGUCCUCACCCCAUCUCUACCAACCCAACUUCAUGUUCUCUC